RNAcentral lists this transfer RNA (82 nucleotides) under Begonia coptidifolia. RNAcentral's name for it is "tRNA-Phe". Lineage: Eukaryota; Viridiplantae; Streptophyta; Magnoliopsida; Cucurbitales; Begoniaceae. The record is from RNAcentral.
UAUUUCUUAUUGAUAGGUGACCGAUGCUGAAGACAUCGUCUUUUCAUGUCGAAGACACGGGUUCGAUUCCCGUAAGGGAUAG